Molecule: long non-coding RNA, 1083 nt
Organism: Gordionus sp. m RMFG-2023
Lineage: Eukaryota; Metazoa; Nematomorpha; Gordioida; Chordodea; Parachordodidae
Exons: 4
Source: RefSeq, a predicted model, not a curated record
GAUUGCCUAAAUACACUUAUGUAUUGUUUAUUUUCAUUGAAUAUUUUUUUUAUUUUUAUUGAAUACAAUAAAAUUUUUUGGAGUUUAUUGAGCUCAUGAAUAUUAGUGCUAGUAUUUUAAAGAGCAAAGAAAAUAAAUGUAAUAUAAAACAUUACUUUGAAAGAAAAGGUACAUAGUUGCUUUAAUUAUUUAGUAAUAUAAAUAUUUUUUAAAUGAUGAAAACUCUGAGGUAGUGAGUAAUAAUAAGGAGGAAUUAAAUAACAUGAAAAUCACUUAAAAGGUAUUAUAUUUUUACUUACCAUUAUUUUUUUAAAAUAUUUUGUCUCAAAAUUACUCAACACAAUUAAUGGAAAAGAGGAUGAGAAUUGUGAAGCCCAAAAAUAUUUAAUAUUAUAAGUCUUUUUUAGAUGAAAGAGUUUUUAAGAGGAUUAAGUUAUCAAAUGAUGAAACGAAGAUGAUAGAGCUUGGUAGCCACCGAGGAAAUAUUGUUAUGCCUUCUAAUCCUAAUGUACCAGUUGUAAUUGACAUAAUGAGCUAGUUUAUUGAGAAAGAUAUAACAGUAGAGACAAUAAUUUCCAAGAAAAGAUACAAAUUUUUUUCUUCCCAACAGAAAUUAAAAAUUUAUCAUUUGAACGCUUUUUUAUAACGAUCAGGAAACGAUAUCCAAAAUAUAAUAAUGGUGUGAUGGGAGAAAAUUUUUCCACCGAGUGGAUUAUUAGUGAUGGAAAUUGCCUCUUCAGAUAUAUAAGCAAAGAAUUUUGUAAUAACGAAUGCCACUAUGAUUUUCUGAGACAGUAAUGCAUUUUCGAGGAGCACAGAUAUGCUUGAGCAGAUGGAAUGGUUUCUGGGAGAACGGGUUGACAUAUAUUUGGAGAGAACAGGGAUGGUCGAAAACUUACGGAACAGAGGCGGAGAUAGUUUCAAUGAUAACUAUAAUUCUGAAAAAUAUAAUUAUUCACACUAUUUAUAAAUAAUAUUGUACGCCAAUUAAAAAAUUAAAUAACAUCAAAAAAAUUAAUUUGAAUAUAUAUAUAAGAAAUUAACGCGAUCAUUUUGACCGCAUUAUAAAUUUUAAUUAAUCAU